UCAGUCCGAUAAGACUUUUCGACACCCUCACAAACCCACAACCUUUUACCAUCCUCUGUUUAACCCGCAACAUCUUUUCGCUCAAACCGCAUACUCGUCGGAGAAGUCGGGUCGUCGCCGGAGAGUUACGGGCCUCGCCGGACCUGCAAGUGGUCGGAGACGUACCGACGCCGGAGUUUACGGAGACCACGACGGAGUCUCGUUCCCGUAUCAGUUCGGGAAAUCCCGUUCGUUCUCUUGGACUAUUCUCAUCUUUACUCGUGCGUACUUACAAGAAAUCGCAACGCAAUCGAUACUAUGCUCUGUCAUUCGUUGUUAGCAGGCUAAUCAGUAAAGCUUAUACUCUGCUCGUAAAUCUGCAAUGUGAUCUGGUAUGAGCAAAGGAAAGUGCCACGGAGCACUCCCAGCUUAGAAAAGUGGCUCAAUGUAAAUAAAUAAAAUGAACAUGUUUUGAAAAUAAAGAUUUCCCUGGGAAAUCACAUUAUUGUAAAAUACGGGAAUUUAUCCCUAAGUUAUGAAACGAGCAGUUAA
This 531-nucleotide long non-coding RNA is filed under the name Helianthus annuus (common sunflower). RNAcentral describes it as "hypothetical non coding rna". Lineage: Eukaryota; Viridiplantae; Streptophyta; Magnoliopsida; Asterales; Asteraceae. The record is from RNAcentral.